UUAACACAUGCAAGUCGAGGGGCAGCGUGGAGUAGCAAUACUCUGACGGCGACCGGCGAAAGGGUGAGUAACGCGUGAGCAACAUGCCCGGUAGAGGAGAAUAGUCGAUGGAAACGUCGCGUAAUACUCCGUAACAUAGGGGACCGCAUGAUUCUCUAUUAAUAGAUUUAUCGCUACCGGAUUGGCUCGCGUACCAUUAGCUAGUUGGCGGGGUAACGGCCCACCAAGGCGACGAUGGUUAGGGGUUCUGAGAGGAAGGUCCCCCACAUUGGAACUGAGACACGGUCCAGACUCCUACGGGAGGCAGCAGUGAGGAAUAUUGGACAAUGGCCGAGAGGCUGAUCCAGCCAUGCCGCGUGCGGGAAGACGGCCCUAUGGGUUGUAAACCGCUUUUGUUGGGGAGCAAUAAGGUCCACGUGUGGAUCGAUGAGAGUACCCAGCGAAUAAGCAUCGGCUAACUCCGUGCCAGCAGCCGCGGUAAUACGGAGGAUGCAAGCGUUAUCCGGAUUUAUUGGGUUUAAAGGGUGCGUAGGCGGAUGCCUAAGCGUGAGGUGAAAUCCCCGGGCUCAACCUGGGAACUGCCUCGCGAACUGGGUGUCUGGAAUGCCCCUGCCGUGGGAGGAAUGUGUGGUGUAGCGGUGAAAUGCAUAGAGAUCACACAGAACACCGAUUGCGAAGGCAUCUCACGAAGGGGUGAUUGACGCUGAGGCACGAAAGCGUGGGGAUCAAACAGGAUUAGAUACCCUGGUAGUCCACGCAGUAAACGAUGAUAACUAACCGCUGGGCAUUCGUGUUCAGUGGCCAAGCGAAAGCGAUAAGUUAUCCACCUGGGGAGUACGACCGCAAGGUUGAAACUCAAAGGAAUUGACGGGGGCCCGCACAAGCGGAGGAACAUGUGGUUUAAUUCGAUGAUACGCGAGGAACCUUACCCGGGCUCGAACGGCAAGUGAAGCGAUCCAGAGAUGGUGACGUCCUUCGGGACACUUGUCGAGGUGCUGCAUGGUUGUCGUCAGCUCGUGCCGUGAGUGUCGGCUCAGUGCCAUACGAGCGCAACCCUGUCGUCAGUACAGCAGUAGCGUGGGACUCUGGCGAGACUGCACGCAGGUGAAGAGGGGGAUGACGUCAAUCAGCACGUCCUACGUCGGGCGAACCACGUGUUACAUGGGGUACGAGGACUACUAUACGGAUGAUCUCGAAAGCUCCAGUCGAAUCGAUUCGCACUCGAUCCGUGAGCUGAUUCCAGUAUUGCGCAUAUCA
Molecule: ribosomal RNA, 1257 nt
Filed under: uncultured rumen bacterium
Lineage: Bacteria
Description: partial 16S ribosomal RNA
Rfam family: Bacterial small subunit ribosomal RNA
Source: RNAcentral